This 748-nucleotide long non-coding RNA is filed under the name Betta splendens (Siamese fighting fish). RNAcentral's name for it is "lncRNA (ENSBSLG00000007340.1)". Lineage: Eukaryota; Metazoa; Chordata; Actinopteri; Anabantiformes; Osphronemidae. The record is from RNAcentral.
GCUGAUCCCCGCUGAGUAUGUUUGCUAUCAACGCAACCCGGUGUGUAGAGUACUGUAUUUGUUAGUAGCUGCAGUAUGAUUAAAAAAUGCAUUGUGCUUUAGACUAAUGGUGAAUAAGCAAAAAUGCUUGUCAAUUCGGAUGUAAUAUUGGUAUAUUUACCGUAAAUGGCGUAUUUGUGUUUUUUUUUUCUCCAACACAAUGUCUGGAGUCCCAGUGUUGGAUACGCUCUUCCUACUUAUGUCCUUGAGCGAGACACUGAGCCUUCACUUCCAGUGUGUUUUCCUGCUCCCUCAGGUCACACAAGGAAGCAGGGACAGAGAAUGUGGGCAUAUGAGAGAAGGAAAGGAAAUGAAGGAGAACACACGAGGAAACCGACACAAAGCCACAGUGAGAAGUAGGGAGACGAUGGGGAGGUGCCACGUCAUGCCUGAAGCUCCAGAGCAUUCACAGUCUCGCUCAAGGAUGCUUCAACCAGGACCUACGCCCGCUGUCAAGUGGCUUGAACCCAGGUCUUCCAGACGAAGGUCGCUCCACUUAAUCACUGCCUCUGCAGAAUGGGAGCGUCAUGAUAUAUGUAACCAGACCACUGACAGGAAGCAGCCCAGUAUCAGUUCCCCUAAUGCAUCUUUCAAGAUUUUGUACAGGAUCCAUGAUAGUCCGGCUGUCAAGAUGUCCAAAUCGGCUGUUAGGACCAGUGUUGUAGGAGAGAUGAGGAGAGAGCACACAAGCGUUUCCUGUGGGUGGUGA